This is a long non-coding RNA of Sciurus carolinensis (gray squirrel), 1802 nucleotides long. RefSeq lists it as uncharacterized. Lineage: Eukaryota; Metazoa; Chordata; Mammalia; Rodentia; Sciuridae. The transcript is spliced from 5 exons. The record is from RefSeq and is a predicted model, not a curated record.
UGGCGGAGUAGUUGUUGUGUCUGUAAGUGAGUGCGUGUCACGCACCAGUAACCAGGCGCACGGUGAGGUUGGGGCCUGCGUACUAUGAAGCCAUCUUGGAGCUUUGAUCCUAGAAUGCUAGUUUUUGGAAGCUCGCACGUGCGGAACGCGCCGCCCGGCCGCCACGUGCCCUGAGUAGAGUCUGGGAGACGACAUGCUUGGAGUUUAGGCGUGAGGAGCCUGCUUAUAGGCCUAGGGCGCCACGCGCGGCCCUAUUUCUGGCAUGGGGCCACCGGCUGCCCUGAGCCUAAGCGUCGGCGGGAAAAAUCACCUGAGGAUUUACCAAAGAUGAUUUAAACAUGGGCAACCCCGAAUCUGUAUAGAACUCUAGGGGCUGUUUUGAGCCCAGGCGGCGCUGUUUCCAAUACUAAUUAAUGAGUGGGAGAGGAUUAAUACAGAAAGAAAUUAAAACAUGACACUGAGAAUGUUUGAUUGCAAGCAUCGAUCCCCCGCAGUAAUGGCGCUGGCUUUCGGUGGUACAUCGGAGCUGCUACAUGGAGUCGCUAAGAUGCACAAGGAAAUCCCAAAACAUCGCAUAAAAUUUUUAAUGGAGAAUUACUUGCUUAAAACCUGACAGUCACACCUGGUAUGUGGGACCUAGUAUUGAGCAUACGAUCAAUAUGUAGAACAAGUGAAAUUUUUUGGUCAUUGAACAGCGACCUGGAUGUUGAUGAAUACUAAUGAGGUGAUGAAUCAUCACUGGCUGUAGUCACUUCAGUUUGAGUGAUUGUGGCUGUGUGUGCCCAUUCAGAAGGACCAGUUUGCUGUAAAGUUCAUGGGAUAGAACAAUUUCUGAAUAGUUCUGCAAAGUUUCCUUUUUCUGUUAUCAAAACCUGGUGAUAAGAAAAACAUCCAGGAAAAGCAGACAUGAAGAGAAAACAUACAGUUUGGGAUUAUAUUUUUUAAAUUUAUAGCUAUUAUUAGCUAAACCAUGAAUGGAUUUUAAACAAAAUUCUUGACUUUUGCAUAAUUAACUUUGUAAUCAAAUUAUUCAUGAAUGUUUUGCCAUUAAUCCUCUUGAAUUUAAGAUAGAUAGUUGUAAUUAAAACAGUAAAAGUUACACUGGCUUAUGUAUGAAUUUAGUAAUGUUUUUAUAGAGAGAUGUCUGCUUAUUGAAAUAAGUGGUUAGUAGCCAAGUCAUGGAAUAUUUAGUCAUAAUGUAAUAGGAGAGAAAUGUAAAUAGGAUGUUGAAAAUGAAGGGAGAAUAUAAUAAUAAAGUUUCUAUUGACCUAUUUGAGUCCCAAGUUUUGAAUUCUGCAAUAGUUUCAAUGAAAUUGACACUAGCUUGUUGGGAGGAAUCUUAACCAAGAGCUCAUAUAUAUAUUGAUACUGUUUUUGGAAUUGUGUACUAUAAGUUUUUAUAAGUUUCCAUCCCUGAGAAAGUAGGACAAAAUGGCCAGACCACAUCAGAAAGAACAGUACCUGAUGAUUACUAUCUAGUACUUAGUGAUCAGCCUUUCCCAAUCCUGUCCAGCCACCCUAUUCUCCUUAACCACUGGUACCUAUCAUUCUAUUCUGUGAUAGGAAGUUUUCAGAUUCCUUAUGAGUUAAUAGCAAUACUUGUCUCUAAUUGACUUAUUUCACUUAACAUACUUACCUAGUUCCAUGUUGUCACAAGUGAUAGAAAUUCAUUCUUUUCAUAGCUAAACAGUGUUCCAUUGUGUAGAUGUGCCACAUUUCCUUUAUCCUAUCACCCAUCAAUGGACAUGUAGGAUGAUUCCAUAGAUUGGCUGUUGUGAAAUAGCACUGCAAUAAACAAGCAA